RNAcentral lists this transfer RNA (72 nucleotides) under Dictyocaulus viviparus (bovine lungworm). It matches the Rfam family "tRNA". Rfam says of the family: Transfer RNA (tRNA) molecules are approximately 80 nucleotides in length. Their secondary structure includes four short double-helical elements and three loops (D, anti-codon, and T loops). Lineage: Eukaryota; Metazoa; Nematoda; Chromadorea; Rhabditida; Metastrongylidae. The record is from Rfam by way of RNAcentral.
GCCUCGGUUGUGUAAUGGAAGGUACGGCAGUCCGGAUAUCUGUAAGUGUGGGUACGAGUCCCGCCUGAGGUG